GGAGAUGUACUCAAGUGGUGAAGAGAUCGCUCUCGAAAAGCGACAGGUCGGCACAACCGGCGCGAGGGUUCGACCCCCUCCAUCUCCG
This 88-nucleotide transfer RNA is filed under the name Clostridium sp. RNAcentral describes it as "tRNA-Ser". It matches the Rfam family "tRNA". From Rfam's summary of the family: Transfer RNA (tRNA) molecules are approximately 80 nucleotides in length. Their secondary structure includes four short double-helical elements and three loops (D, anti-codon, and T loops). Further hydrogen bonds mediate the characteristic L-shaped molecular structure. tRNAs have two regions of fundamental functional importance: the anti-codon, which is responsible for specific mRNA codon recognition, and the 3' end, to which the tRNAs corresponding amino acid is attached (by aminoacyl-tRNA synthetases). tRNAs cope with the degeneracy of the genetic code in two manners: having more than one tRNA (with a specific anti-codon) for a particular amino acid; and 'wobble' base-pairing, i.e. permitting non-standard base-pairing at the 3rd anti-codon position. The record is from RNAcentral. Lineage: Bacteria; Bacillati; Bacillota; Clostridia; Eubacteriales; Clostridiaceae. RNAcentral also lists the same sequence under 3 other names.